GUAGGUAAUACGAUAAUACAAAAUUGAACUGUAC
This 34-nucleotide non-coding RNA is filed under the name Trypanosoma vivax. The record is from RNAcentral. Lineage: Eukaryota; Euglenozoa; Kinetoplastea; Trypanosomatida; Trypanosomatidae.